UACAACGAACUAUAUUAGAUAAUGAUGG
This 28-nucleotide small RNA is filed under the name Bombyx mori (domestic silkworm). Its description in RNAcentral is "ovarian small RNA-5902". Lineage: Eukaryota; Metazoa; Arthropoda; Insecta; Lepidoptera; Bombycidae. The record is from RNAcentral.